This 398-nucleotide ribosomal RNA is filed under the name uncultured bacterium. RNAcentral's name for it is "bacterial SSU rRNA". It matches the Rfam family "Bacterial small subunit ribosomal RNA", at positions 360 to 773 of the family's 1533-position model. The record is from RNAcentral.
AAUAUUGGACAAUGGGCGCAACCCUGACCCAGCAAUGCCGCGUGCAGGAGGACGCCCUUCGGGGUGUAAACUGCUUUUGUGGGGGAGCAGACAAGGAGCGUACCCCACGAAUCAGUCACGGCUAACUACGUGCCAGCAGCCGCGGUAAUACGUAGGUGGCGAACGUUAUCCGGAGUGACUGGGUGUAAAGGGUCCGUAGGCGGGGAUCUAAGUCUGACGUGAAAGCGCCCGGCUCAACUGGGCGAGUGCGUUGGAAACUGGGUCUCUUGACUCACGCAGAGGUCGGCGGAAUUCCCGGUGUAGUGGUGGAAUGCGUAGAGAUCGGGAGGAACCUCGAAAGCGAAGGCAGCCGACUGGGGGAUGAGUGACGCUGAGGGACGAAAGCGUGGGGAGCGAAC